RNAcentral lists this ribosomal RNA (253 nucleotides) under uncultured bacterium. RNAcentral describes it as "partial 16S ribosomal RNA". It matches the Rfam family "Bacterial small subunit ribosomal RNA", at positions 524 to 776 of the family's 1533-position model. The record is from RNAcentral.
GACAGAGGGUGCAAACGUUGUUCGGAAUUACUGGGCAUAAAGCGCACGUAGGUGGUUUGUUAAGUCGCGUGUGAAAUCCCCCGGCUCAACCGGGGAAUUGCGCGCGAUACUGGCGGGCUUGAGAUCGGGAGGGGUGAGCGGAACUCCAGGUGGAGCGGUGAAAUGCGUAGAUAUCUGGAGGAACACCGGUGGCGAAAGCGGCUCACUGGCCCGACACUGACGCUGAGGUGCGAAAGCUAGGGUAGCAAACGGG